CCUACGGGUGGCAGCAGUAGGGAAUUUUGCGCAAUGGAGGAAACCCUGACGCAGCAACGCCGCGUGCUCGAUGAAGCCCUUCUGGGUGUAAAGAUCUGUCAGUGGGGACGAAACCUGACGGUACCCACAGAGUAAGCACCGGCUAACUCCGUGCCAGCAGCCGCGGUAAUACGGGGGGUGCAAGCUUUGUCCGGAAUCAUUGGGCGUAAAGAGUUCGUAGGUGGCCCGUUAAGUCUGGUGUUAAAGGCGGAAGCUCAACUUCUGUAGGGCACUGGAUCCUGGCGAGCUGGACUGCAGUAGUGGUAGAGGGAAUUCAUGGUGGAGCGGUGAAAUGCGUAGAGAUCAGGAGGAACAUCGGUGGCGUAAGCGCUUUACUGGGCCGUAAUUGACACUGAGGAACGAAAGCCGGGGUAGCAAAUGGGAUUAGAUACCCUUGUAGUC
This 441-nucleotide ribosomal RNA is filed under the name uncultured bacterium. RNAcentral describes it as "partial 16S ribosomal RNA". It matches the Rfam family "Bacterial small subunit ribosomal RNA", at positions 338 to 795 of the family's 1533-position model. The record is from RNAcentral.